Molecule: ribosomal RNA, 497 nt
Filed under: uncultured bacterium
Lineage: Bacteria
Description: partial 16S ribosomal RNA
Rfam family: Bacterial small subunit ribosomal RNA
Source: RNAcentral
GACGAACGCUGGCGGCGUGCCUAAUACAUGCAAGUUGAGCGCUGAAGGUUGGUACUUGUACCAACUGGAUGAGCAGCGAACGGGUGAGUAACGCGUGGGGCAUCUGCCUUUGAGCGGGGGACAACAUUUGGAAACGAAUGCUAAUACCGCAUAAAAACUUUAAACACAAGUUUGAAGUUUGAAAGAUGCAAUUGCAUCACUCAAAGAUGAUCCCGCGUUGUAUUAGCUAGUUGGUGAGGUAAAGGCUCACCAAGGCGAUGAUACAUAGCCCACCUGAGAGGGUGAUCGGCCACAUGGGGACUGAGACACGGCCCAAACGCCUACGGGAGGCAGCAGUAGGGAAUCUGCGGCAAUGGACGAAAGUCUUACCGAGCAACGCCGCGGGAGUGAAGAAGGUGUUCGGAUCGUAAAACUCUGUUGGUAGAGAAGAACGUGGGUGAGAGUGGAAAGCUCAUCAAGUGACGGUAACUACCCAGAAAGGGACGGCUAACUACGUG